Molecule: ribosomal RNA, 298 nt
Filed under: Georgenia satyanarayanai
Lineage: Bacteria; Bacillati; Actinomycetota; Actinomycetes; Allobogoriellales; Allobogoriellaceae
Description: partial 16S ribosomal RNA
Rfam family: Bacterial small subunit ribosomal RNA
Source: RNAcentral
CAUUUACGGAGAGUUUGAUCCUGGCUCAGGACGAACGCUGGCGGCGUGCUUAACACAUGCAAGUCGAACGAUGAAGCCCAGCUUGCUGGGUGGAUUAGUGGCGAACGGGUGAGUAACACGUGAGUAACCUGCCCCUGACUUCGGGAUAACUACGAGAAAUCGUGGCUAAUACCGGAUAUGACACGUGCCUGCAUGGGUGUGUGUGGAAAGAUUUAUCGGUUGGGGAUGGGCUCGCGGCCUAUCAGCUUGUUGGUGGGGUGAUGGCCUACCAAGGCGACGACGGGUAGCCGGCCUGAGA